This 727-nucleotide ribosomal RNA is filed under the name uncultured Cortinarius. RNAcentral's name for it is "eukaryotic LSU rRNA". The stretch from base 306 to 459 matches the Rfam family "5.8S ribosomal RNA". The record is from RNAcentral. Lineage: Eukaryota; Fungi; Basidiomycota; Agaricomycetes; Agaricales; Cortinariaceae.
CUUGGUCAUUUAGAGGAAGUAAAAGUCGUAACAAGGUUUCCGUAGGUGAACCUGCGGAAGGAUCAUUAUUGAAAUAAACCUGAUGGGUUGUUGCUGGUUCUCUAGGGAGCAUGUGCACACUUGUCAUCUUUAUAUCUCCACCUGUGCACCUUUUGUAGAUCUGGAUAGCUUUCCAAAUGCUAGUCAUUUGGGUUUGAAGAUUGACUUUUCUGUCUUUCUUUACUUUUCAGGUCUAUGUUUCUCCAUAUACCCCAAUGUAUGUUAUAGAAUGUAAUUAAUGGGCCUUUGUGCCUAUAAAUCUAUACAACUUACAGCAACGGAUCUCUUGGUUCUCGCAUCGAUGAAGAACGCAGCGAAAUGCGAUAAGUAAUGUGAAUUGCAGAAUUCAGUGAAUCAUCGAAUCUUUGAACGCACCUUGCGCUCCUUGGUAUUCUGAGGAGCAUGCCUGUUUGAGUGUCAUUAAUAUAUCAACCUCUUCAGCUUUGCUUGUCGAGUGUUGGAUGUGGGGGGUAUUCUUCUUGCUGGUCUCUCUUCGAGGUCAGCUCCCCUGAAAUAUAUUAGCGGGACAAUUUGUUGACUGUUCAUUGGUGUGAUAACUAUCUACGCUAUUGAACGUGAGGCAGGUUCAGCUUCUAACAGUCCAUUGACUUGGACAAAUCUUUCAUUAAUGUGACCUCAAAUCAGGUAGGACUACCCGCUGAACUUAAGCAUAUCAAUAAGCGGAGGA